Molecule: unclassified non-coding RNA, 240 nt
Filed under: soil metagenome
Description: partial contains 5.8S ribosomal RNA, internal transcribed spacer 2, and large subunit ribosomal RNA
Source: RNAcentral
AACUGAUACUACCUGCGGGAACCUGCGGAGGGAUCAUUACUGAAGUGAUUUGGGGAUGUUGCUGGCCCUCUCUCAAGGGGGGGCACUGUGCACUCCUCGAAACAAUUCACAAUUUCCAUCACACCCCUUGUGCACACCUUGUAGGCACCCAAACCCACCUCUGGGUGGUGGGGUCCUAUGUAUUCCUUCAUCUCACACUCUGUUGAAUGGUGCCAUGGGACGCAUCUAAAGGAUUAUUUG